AGUCGAGGGGUAUGGAAGCUUGCUUCCUAGAGACCGGCGCACGGGUGCGUAACGCGUAUGCAAUCUACCUUUUGCAGAGGGAUAGCCCAGAGAAAUUUGGAUUAAUACCUCAUAGUAUGUGAGAAUGGCAUCAUUUUCACAUUAAAGUCACAACGGCAAAAGAUGAGCAUGCGUCCCAUUAGCUUGUUGGUAAGGUAACGGCUUACCAAGGCAACGAUGGGUAGGGGUCCUGAGAGGGAGAUCCCCCACACUGGUACUGAGACACGGACCAGACUCCUACGGGAGGCAGCAGUGAGGAAUAUUGGACAAUGGGCGCAAGCCUGAUCCAGCCAUGCCGCGUGCAGGAUGACGGUCCUAUGGAUUGUAAACUGCUUUUGUACAGGAAGAAACACUGGUUCGUGAACCAGCUUGACGGUACUGUAAGAAUAAGGAUCGGCUAACUCCGUGCCAGCAGCCGCGGUAAUACGGAGGAUCCAAGCGUUAUCCGGAAUCAUUGGGUUUAAAGGGUCCGUAGGCGGUUUAGUAAGUCAGUGGUGAAAGCCCAUCGCUCAACGGUGGAACGGCCAUUGAUACUGCUAGACUUGAAUUAUUAGGAAGUAACUAGAAUAUGUAGUGUAGCGGUGAAAUGCUUAGAGAUUACAUGGAAUACCAAUUGCGAAGGCAGGUUACUACUAAUGGAUUGACGCUGAUGGACGAAAGCGUGGGUAGCGAACAGGAUUAGAUACCCUGGUAGUCCACGCCGUAAACGAUGGAUACUA
Molecule: ribosomal RNA, 758 nt
Filed under: Flavobacterium sp.
Lineage: Bacteria; Pseudomonadati; Bacteroidota; Flavobacteriia; Flavobacteriales; Flavobacteriaceae
Description: bacterial SSU rRNA
Rfam family: Bacterial small subunit ribosomal RNA
Source: RNAcentral